GCGGGGGUGGCCGAGUCUGGCCAAAGGCGUCGGACUUAAGAUCCGAUGGCGUAGGCCUGCGCGGGUUCGAAUCCCGUCCCCCGCACCA
RNAcentral lists this transfer RNA (88 nucleotides) under Thermococci archaeon. RNAcentral's name for it is "tRNA-Leu". It matches the Rfam family "tRNA". From Rfam's summary of the family: Transfer RNA (tRNA) molecules are approximately 80 nucleotides in length. Their secondary structure includes four short double-helical elements and three loops (D, anti-codon, and T loops). The record is from RNAcentral. RNAcentral also lists the same sequence under 1 other name. Lineage: Archaea; Methanobacteriati; Methanobacteriota; Thermococci.